CAUCGCCACGGGAAUACAGAGGGUGCGAGCGUUAAUCGGAUUUACUGGGCGUAAAGCGUGCGUAGGCGGCUAAUUGAGUCGGAUGUGAAAUCCCCGAGCUUAACUUGGGAAUUGCAUUCGAUACUGGUUAGCUAGAGUGUGGGAGAGGAUGGUAGAAUUCCAGGUGUAGCGGUGAAAUGCGUAGAGAUCUGGAGGAAUACCGAUGGCGAAGGCAGCCAUCUGGCCUAACACUGACGCUGAGGUACUAAAGCAUGGGGAGCAAACAGGAUUAGAUACCCCAGUAGUCCCUGUCUCUUAUACC
RNAcentral lists this ribosomal RNA (301 nucleotides) under uncultured bacterium. Its description in RNAcentral is "partial 16S ribosomal RNA". It matches the Rfam family "Bacterial small subunit ribosomal RNA", at positions 510 to 808 of the family's 1533-position model. The record is from RNAcentral.